Molecule: ribosomal RNA, 497 nt
Filed under: uncultured bacterium
Lineage: Bacteria
Description: partial 16S ribosomal RNA
Rfam family: Bacterial small subunit ribosomal RNA
Source: RNAcentral
GAUGAACGCUGGCGGCGUGCCUAAUACAUGCAAGUCGAGCGAACAGACGAUGAGCUUUCUCCUCUGACGUUAGCGGCGGACGGGUGAGUAACACGUGGAUAACCUACCUAUAAUACUGGGAUAACUUCGGGAAACCGGAGCUAAUACCGGAGAAUAUAUUGAACCGCAUGAUUCAAUAGUGAAAGACGGUUUUGCUGUCACUUAUAGAUGGAUCCGCGCCGCAUUAGCUAGUUGGUAAGGUAACGGCUUACCAAGGCAACGAUGCGUAGCCGACCUGAGAGGGUGAUCGGCCACACUGGAACUGAGACACGGUCCAGACUCCUACGGGAGGCAGCAGUAGGGAAUAUUGCGCAAUGGGCGAAAGCUUGACGGAGCAAUGCCGCGUGAGUGAUGAAGGUCUUCGGAUCGUAAAACUCUGUUAUUAGGGAAGAACAACUGUGUAAGUAACUCUGCACGUCUUGACGGUACCUAAUCAGAAAGCAACGGCUAACUACGUG